This 442-nucleotide ribosomal RNA is filed under the name uncultured bacterium. Its description in RNAcentral is "partial 16S ribosomal RNA". It matches the Rfam family "Bacterial small subunit ribosomal RNA", at positions 338 to 795 of the family's 1533-position model. The record is from RNAcentral.
CCUACGGGAGGCAGCAGUAGGGAAUCUUUCACAAUGGGCGAAAGCCUGAUGGAGCAACGCCGCGUGCAGGAUGAAGGCCUUCGGGUUGUAAACUGCUUUUAUCAGCGAGAAAUAUGAUGGUAACUUAUGAAUCCGGAUCGGCUAACUACGUGCCAGCCGCCGCGGUCAUACGUAGGAUCCGAGCAUUAUCCGGAGUGACUGGGUGUAAAGAGUUGCGUAGGUGGCAUAAUAAGUAGCUAGUGAAAUCUGGUGGCUCAACCAUUCAGACUAUUAGCUAAACUGUUAAGCUCGAGACCGGUAGGGGUAACUGGAAUUUCUAGUGUAGGAGUGAAAUGCGUAGAUAUUAGAAGGAACACCAAUAGCGUAGGCAGGUUGCUGGGACGGGUCUGACACUAAGGCACGAAAGCGUAGGGAGCAAACGGGAUUAGAUACCCCAGUAGUC